CCGACGGUGGCGAGCUGCCGGGCGGUGCCCUUUUCCGGCGGCGGCGCUCACAGGCCCUGCUCCCUCUCCCUUCCCGCUGGCCCUCUGGCCUCCAUUUUUGCUGGUGCCCCCAAUCCAUCCUCUGUUAUCCCCAUGAUCCGUCACCAUAGGAGCCAGUGAUCCAGUGAGGAUGGCCCAGAUCUAGGCAGUUGUACCUCAAGGUGCAGCGGUCCAUCGGGUCAGGGAGGUAGCGGUGGCGCAGCCCUAGGGAGGAGGUGGCUAUGGCGGCAAGAGCACAGGCCUAGGGGAAAGCAGCAGCGACGAGGGAAGUCAACACUUGGACGCAUCCCUCGCGCAUAUGGAUUCACCCUGUCCCUUUACUUCCCUUCUUCUUUAGAUUUGCACUAAAAUGGCAGCGGCUGUUCUUUCUGGAUAGGCCAGAUUGGUAACGAAGCUACCAUGCCCCUUGGUUUGAUGUCAAGGCGUUUGGUUAGGCUAUCUCUGAAUUGCGGCAAUAUGAUCAAGGUGCUCAUGGUGGCUAUUUUCGUUAGUGAUAAAAGAUCUAGUUGUCCGAGCAAAUCAUACAAGUACAAAUGUUGAUAGUUUCAUACAGUUAUGUGUUGUACAAACUAACGUCUUAGUUUUGUAGGUACUUAAGUGUAGCUUGGUUAUUACCUUAGUAUUUCGUAUGAAAUAUUGUACAAGUACAAAUGUUGAUAGUUUCAAUGAAAAUGAUGAGCAAUAUUUGUCAA
Molecule: long non-coding RNA, 731 nt
Organism: Sorghum bicolor (sorghum)
Lineage: Eukaryota; Viridiplantae; Streptophyta; Magnoliopsida; Poales; Poaceae
Exons: 3
Source: RefSeq, a predicted model, not a curated record